CGGAGGGUGCAAGCGUUAUCCGGAUUCACUGGGUUUAAAGGGAGCGUAGGUGGCUUUGUAAGUCAGUGGUGAAAUGUCGCGGCUCAACCGCGAAACUGCCAUUGAUACUGCUUAGCUUGAAUCACGUCGAGGUGGAUGGAAUAUUACAUGUAGCGGUGAAAUGCUUAGAUAUGUAAUAGAACACCGAUUGCGAAGACAGUUCACUAGGCGUGUAUUGACACUGAGGCUCGAAAGCGUGGGGAUCAAACAGGAUUAGAUACCCUGGUAGUCCACGCCCUAAACGAUGUAAACUCGACAUUAGCGAUAUACAGUUAGUGUCCAAGCGAAAGCGUUAAGUUUACCACCUGGGAAGUACGACCGCAAGGUUG
Molecule: ribosomal RNA, 368 nt
Filed under: uncultured organism
Description: bacterial SSU rRNA
Rfam family: Bacterial small subunit ribosomal RNA
Source: RNAcentral